This 827-nucleotide long non-coding RNA is filed under the name Equus caballus (horse). RNAcentral's name for it is "lncRNA (ENSECAG00000041157.2)". The record is from RNAcentral. Lineage: Eukaryota; Metazoa; Chordata; Mammalia; Perissodactyla; Equidae.
AAGGGCUCAGUAUGUCUGUCAGCAGCAAGAGAGAAUCGCCCUGGACACUGAGGUACCACGUCCCCGCACGAAUCUCUGGUCGGCCGGUGCGUCACUCAGGAUCCACAACGAUGACGGUUCAAACAAGAUCAAAGUCUCUUUCUCAGGAAAAUGUCAGAGAGGCCCAGUCUCUUUUGUAGUGAUCCAGGGAAGCCUCAAGAAACAUCCUGUUCCUCUACAGUGACCUCGCUCCAGUCUUCAGGCCUGCAUCUGGUAUUCAUGGAGAUCUUAAGAAGGUGGAGGGGAGCAGGCCACUUUCCAAAUACAACUCAACCCCCUGUGCCUCCGUCACGGUCCCCAGGGAGCAGAACCUUCAUGAGUGAUCCAGAAGGAAGGGUACGCCACAGGGUGGGACCUCCUGCAGGGUGCGCGGUGGUGGGGCUAUCUGUGCAGGUUGUCUCCUCGGCUUCUAUGUCUAUGUGUCACCCCCCCAACCUCGAUGCCACAGUGACCUGCAGGAGGACUCAGAAGCUGGAGGAGACCUGAGGGGAGCUGCAGGGUCUGCCAGUCCGAGCUCUGCGCCCCUCGCCCACGAGAUGAACAGCAGGUCAGCAACAACCUGAGUGGGCCGCCUCUCUGCUUGGCGCCCUGCACAGACCUUCAGGGCGUAAAACGAUGGUGGCUCCUUCACUUGUGCCUUUGAAAUCCUGAGCAAAAUGGCGCACGUGGCCAGUGUCAACCCAGAACCAUGCAGGAAAGGAAUUCUAGGACAUGCAGCUCCAGCUUAGCCAGGUUGACACAGUUCAAGGCCCUGCAGCUGGUGAAAACCAUGAUUACAAGGAACGGUC